GGAUGAGGGCUGAUAGUUCCAGGGAGC
This 27-nucleotide non-coding RNA is filed under the name Cricetulus griseus (Chinese hamster). Lineage: Eukaryota; Metazoa; Chordata; Mammalia; Rodentia; Cricetidae. The record is from RNAcentral.